AUCUAUCUGACGAGUCCCAAAUAGGACGAAAUGCACAUCAAGCUGGAU
This 48-nucleotide non-coding RNA is filed under the name Trichobilharzia regenti. The record is from RNAcentral. Lineage: Eukaryota; Metazoa; Platyhelminthes; Trematoda; Strigeidida; Schistosomatidae.